CCCCUACGGGAGGCAGCAGUGAGGAAUAUUGGUCGAUGGCCGAGAGGCUGAACCAGCCAAGUCGCGUGAGGGAAGACGGCCCUACGGGUUGUAAACCUCUUUUGUCGGGGAGCAAAGCGAACCACGUGUGGUUCAUUGAGAGUACCCGAAGAAAAAGCAUCGGCUAACUCCGUGCCAGCAGCCGCGGUAAUACGGAGGAUGCGAGCGUUAUCCGGAUUUAUUGGGUUUAAAGGGAGCGCAGGCGGCGCGGCAAGUCAGAUGUGAAAGCCCGG
RNAcentral lists this ribosomal RNA (272 nucleotides) under uncultured bacterium. Its description in RNAcentral is "partial 16S ribosomal RNA". It matches the Rfam family "Bacterial small subunit ribosomal RNA", at positions 336 to 605 of the family's 1533-position model. The record is from RNAcentral.